RNAcentral lists this ribosomal RNA (253 nucleotides) under uncultured bacterium. RNAcentral's name for it is "partial 16S ribosomal RNA". It matches the Rfam family "Bacterial small subunit ribosomal RNA", at positions 524 to 776 of the family's 1533-position model. The record is from RNAcentral.
UACGAAGGGGGCUAGCGUUGCUCGGAAUCACUGGGCGUAAAGGGUGCGUAGGCGGGUCUUUAAGUCAGGGGUGAAAUCCUGGAGCUCAACUCCGGAACUGCCUUUGAUACUGGAGAUCUUGAGUUCGGGAGAGGUGAGUGGAACUGCGAGUGUAGAGGUGAAAUUCGUAGAUAUUCGCAAGAACACCAGUGGCGAAGGCGGCUCACUGGCCCGAUACUGACGCUGAGGCACGAAAGCGUGGGGAGCAAACAGG